GGUUAAGCGACUAAGCGUACACGGUGGAUGCCCUGGCAGUCAGAGGCGAUGAAGGACGUGCUAAUCUGCGAUAAGCGUCGGUAAGGUGAUAUGAACCGUUAUAACCGGCGAUUUCCGAAUGGGGAAACCCAGUGUGUUUCGACACACUAUCAUUAACUGAAUCCAUAGGUUAAUGAGGCGAACCGGGGGAACUGAAACAUCUAAGUACCCCGAGGAAAAGAAAUCAACCGAGAUUCCCCCAGUAGCGGCGAGCGAACGGGGAGCAGCCCAGAGCCUGAAUCAGUGUGUGUGUUAGUGGAAGCGUCUGGAAAGGCGCGCGAUACAGGGUGACAGCCCCGUACACAAAAAUGCACAUGCUGUGAGCUCGAUGAGUAGGGCGGGACACGUGGUAUCCUGUCUGAAUAUGGGGGGACCAUCCUCCAAGGCUAAAUACUCCUGACUGACCGAUAGUGAACCAGUACCGUGAGGGAAAGGCGAAAAGAACCCCGGCGAGGGGAGUGAAAAAGAACCUGAAACCGUGUACGUACAAGCAGUGGGAGCCUCUUUAUGGGGUGACUGCGUACCUUUUGUAUAAUGGGUCAGCGACUUAUAUUCUGUAGCAAGGUUAACCGAAUAGGGGAGCCGAAGGGAAACCGAGUCUUAACUGGGCGUUAAGUUGCAGGGUAUAGACCCGAAACCCGGUGAUCUAGCCAUGGGCAGGUUGAAGGUUGGGUAACACUAACUGGAGGACCGAACCGACUAAUGUUGAAAAAUUAGCGGAUGACUUGUGGCUGGGGGUGAAAGGCCAAUCAAACCGGGAGAUAGCUGGUUCUCCCCGAAAGCUAUUUAGGUAGCGCCUCGUGAAUUCAUCUCCGGGGGUAGAGCACUGUUUCGGCAAGGGGGUCAUCCCGACUUACCAACCCGAUGCAAACUGCGAAUACCGGAGAAUGUUAUCACGGGAGACACACGGCGGGUGCUAACGUCCGUCGUGAAGAGGGAAACAACCCAGACCGCCAGCUAAGGUCCCAAAGUCAUGGUUAAGUGGGAAACGAUGUGGGAAGGCCCAGACAGCCAGGAUGUUGGCUUAGAAGCAGCCAUCAUUUAAAGAAAGCGUAAUAGCUCACUGGUCGAGUCGGCCUGCGCGGAAGAUGUAACGGGGCUAAACCAUGCACCGAAGCUGCGGCAGCGACGCUUAUGCGUUGUUGGGUAGGGGAGCGUUCUGUAAGCCUGUGAAGGUGUGCUGUGAGGCAUGCUGGAGGUAUCAGAAGUGCGAAUGCUGACAUAAGUAACGAUAAAGCGGGUGAAAAGCCCGCUCGCCGGAAGACCAAGGGUUCCUGUCCAACGUUAAUCGGGGCAGGGUGAGUCGACCCCUAAGGCGAGGCCGAAAGGCGUAGUCGAUGGGAAACAGGUUAAUAUUCCUGUACUUGGUGUUACUGCGAAGGGGGGACGGAGAAGGCUAUGUUGGCCGGGCGACGGUUGUCCCGGUUUAAGCGUGUAGGCUGGUUUUCCAGGCAAAUCCGGAAAAUCAAGGCUGAGGCGUGAUGACGAGGCACUACGGUGCUGAAGCAACAAAUGCCCUGCUUCCAGGAAAAGCCUCUAAGCAUCAGGUAACAUCAAAUCGUACCCCAAACCGACACAGGUGGUCAGGUAGAGAAUACCAAGGCGCUUGAGAGAACUCGGGUGAAGGAACUAGGCAAAAUGGUGCCGUAACUUCGGGAGAAGGCACGCUGAUAUGUAGGUGAAGUCCCUUGCGGAUGGAGCUGAAAUCAGUCGAAGAUACCAGCUGGCUGCAACUGUUUAUUAAAAACACAGCACUGUGCAAACACGAAAGUGGACGUAUACGGUGUGACGCCUGCCCGGUGCCGGAAGGUUAAUUGAUGGGGUCAGCGCAAGCGAAGCUCUUGAUCGAAGCCCCGGUAAACGGCGGCCGUAACUAUAACGGUCCUAAGGUAGCGAAAUUCCUUGUCGGGUAAGUUCCGACCUGCACGAAUGGCGUAAUGAUGGCCAGGCUGUCUCCACCCGAGACUCAGUGAAAUUGAACUCGCUGUGAAGAUGCAGUGUACCCGCGGCAAGACGGAAAGACCCCGUGAACCUUUACUAUAGCUUGACACUGAACAUUGAGCCUUGAUGUGUAGGAUAGGUGGGAGGCUUAGAAGUGUGGACGCCAGUCUGCAUGGAGCCGACCUUGAAAUACCACCCUUUAAUGUUUGAUGUUCUAACGUUGACCCGUAAUCCGGGUUGCGGACAGUGUCUGGUGGGUAGUUUGACUGGGGCGGUCUCCUCCUAAAGAGUAACGGAGGAGCACGAAGGUUGGCUAAUCCUGGUCGGACAUCAGGAGGUUAGUGCAAUGGCAUAAGCCAGCUUGACUGCGAGCGUGACGGCGCGAGCAGGUGCGAAAGCAGGUCAUAGUGAUCCGGUGGUUCUGAAUGGAAGGGCCAUCGCUCAACGGAUAAAAGGUACUCCGGGGAUAACAGGCUGAUACCGCCCAAGAGUUCAUAUCGACGGCGGUGUUUGGCACCUCGAUGUCGGCUCAUCACAUCCUGGGGCUGAAGUAGGUCCCAAGGGUAUGGCUGUUCGCCAUUUAAAGUGGUACGCGAGCUGGGUUUAGAACGUCGUGAGACAGUUCGGUCCCUAUCUGCCGUGGGCGCUGGAGAACUGAGGGGGGCUGCUCCUAGUACGAGAGGACCGGAGUGGACGCAUCACUGGUGUUCGGGUUGUCAUGCCAAUGGCACUGCCCGGUAGCUAAAUGCGGAAGAGAUAAGUGCUGAAAGCAUCUAAGCACGAAACUUGCCCCGAGAUGAGUUCUCCCUGACCCUUUAAGGGUCCUGAAGGAACGUUGAAGACGACGACGUUGAUAGGCCGGGUGUGUAAGCGCAGCGAUGCGUUGAGCUAACCGGUACUAAUGAACCGUGAGGCUUAACCUU
RNAcentral lists this ribosomal RNA (2903 nucleotides) under Escherichia coli. Its description in RNAcentral is "23S ribosomal RNA". It matches the Rfam family "Bacterial large subunit ribosomal RNA". The record is from RNAcentral. Lineage: Bacteria; Pseudomonadati; Pseudomonadota; Gammaproteobacteria; Enterobacterales; Enterobacteriaceae.